AGUGAACGCUGGCGGUAGGCCUAACACAUGCCAGUCGAACGGCAGCACAGUAAGAGCUUGCUCUUACGGGUGGCGAGUGGCGGACGGGUGAGGAAUACAUCGGACUCUACUUUUUCGUGGGGGAUAACGAAGGGAAAUUUACGCUAAUACCGCAUACGACCUACGGGUGAAAGCAGGGGAUCUUUGGACCUUGCGCGAUUGAAUGAGCUGAUGUCGGAUUAGCUAGUUGGUGGGGUAAAGGCCCACCAAGGCGACGUUCCGUAGCUGGUCUGAGAGGAUGAUCAGCCACACUAGAACUGAGACACGGUCCAGACUCCUGCGGGAGGCAGCAGUGGGGAAUAUUGGACAAUGGGCGCAAACCUGAUCCAGCCAUACCGCGUGAGUGAGGGAGGCCUUCGGGUUGUAAAGCCCUUUUGUUGGGAAAGAAAAGCAGCAGGUUAAUACCCCGCUGUUCUGACGGUACCCAAAGAAUAAGCACCGGCUAACUUCGUG
Molecule: ribosomal RNA, 492 nt
Filed under: uncultured bacterium
Lineage: Bacteria
Description: partial 16S ribosomal RNA
Rfam family: Bacterial small subunit ribosomal RNA
Source: RNAcentral